Molecule: ribosomal RNA, 387 nt
Filed under: marine sediment metagenome
Description: SSU rRNA
Rfam family: Archaeal small subunit ribosomal RNA
Source: RNAcentral
AUCAGGUAACAGGCAAGACCCACAUGUAUAUUUGCUAUUUCAAUAUACAGAUUGCCUUGGUAACGAGGAUGAAAGUGUGGGCUACGUUAGGUGAGUACAGCCCGACAGCCCUGGGCAACACGGGCGCGUCAAUGGUGAAUACAACGAGACGCGACUCUGAGAAGAGAAGCUAAUCUCUUAAAGUUCAUCUCAGUCUAGAUUGAGGAUUGUAACUCAUCCUCAUGACACUGGAAUCCGUAGUAAUCGUUUAUUAUCAAUGAACGGUGAAUACGUCACUGUCUCUUGCACACACUGCCUGUCAAACCAACCGAGUUUAUUUAUGGUGAAACAUUUCGAUGGAGAACUUUGAGUAGACAAGGUAGGUUAAGUCAACACAAGGUAUCUGUA